GACGAACGCUGGCGGCGCGCUUAACACAUGCAAGUCGAACGGAAAGGCCUGCUUUCCGUUGUGGGUUGCGGGUACGAGCGUGGCGAACGGGUGAGUAUCACGUGAGUGAUCUGCUCCCAACUUUUGUAUAAGCCUGGGCAACUGCGGCUAAUUCCCGACAGGUCCGCAGGGUGGUUCCUAAGGUGGCAGACGAUGUUCUAGGGGUUGGGGCUGGGCAGCUGGCGUAUCAGCUGGUUGUUGGGGUAGUGGCCUACCAAGGGGGCGACGGGUAGCCGGUCUGGGGGGGUGGACGGCAGCAUUGGGACUGAGAUACGGCCCAGACGCCUACGCGAGGCAGCAGUGGGGAGUAUGGCGCGAGGGGCGGAGGCCUGAUGGAGCGACGCCGCGGGGGGGAUGACGGGUUUCGGGUUGUGAACUCCGUUCGGUCGCGAGGAAGCCACCUGGUUGGAGGGGUGGUGACGGUAGUGGGAGAAGAAGCACCGGCUAACUACGUG
Molecule: ribosomal RNA, 494 nt
Filed under: uncultured bacterium
Lineage: Bacteria
Description: partial 16S ribosomal RNA
Rfam family: Bacterial small subunit ribosomal RNA
Source: RNAcentral